Molecule: transfer RNA, 75 nt
Filed under: Elusimicrobiales bacterium
Lineage: Bacteria; Pseudomonadati; Elusimicrobiota; Elusimicrobia; Elusimicrobiales
Also listed under: 1 other name
Description: tRNA-Val
Rfam family: tRNA
About the family: Transfer RNA (tRNA) molecules are approximately 80 nucleotides in length. Their secondary structure includes four short double-helical elements and three loops (D, anti-codon, and T loops).
Source: RNAcentral
GCCCGGUUGGCGCAGCGGUAGCGCGUUCCCUUGACAUGGGAAAGGUCAUAGGUUCAAACCCUAUACCGGGCACCA